Spinacia oleracea (spinach) is the source of this 734-nucleotide long non-coding RNA. RefSeq lists it as uncharacterized. The record is from RefSeq and is a predicted model, not a curated record. NCBI's taxonomy places the organism in Eukaryota, Viridiplantae, Streptophyta, Magnoliopsida, Caryophyllales, Amaranthaceae. The transcript is spliced from 3 exons.
UUUUACUUUGCCUAGCUUCACUGUUCUUGGUCGUUCUCCCUAUCUAGAUGGGUCAAAAUUCCGUUGUUGCUCGUUCUACUGGUACUACCUUGGUUCGUUCUCCUUCAAACAAUAUUCCAUGGACACCAAUUUCGUUAAGGAACUUAUCUUCAAGUUCAUCAUGGUCACUCUGUCGGUUUUAAAAGCAAGGUCAAGUGAGCUUGGACAGCUAUUCAACAACAACAAUCAUCAAACCAAUGACAGUAAUUAAGAGAGUUGUACUCACUCACUCACAUUAACUUAUAUUCUCGAGUGAAGUCUGGAACGAUGAGCAAUGGGUUUAUACACAAGAAGGUUUAUUGUGUGUCCCGAUUACACAAGAAGGUUUAUGGCGUGUCCCGAUUACGAUGUUGAUACAAAGAGGAGGGGAUGCAUAUACUUUAUAUGGUACGAGGAGGAAAUGACAUUUUGGCAAAGGGACAUAAUUUGGGGUUGCUGGAUCAGAAGAACGAGCUGAGCAAGGAGAAUGAUGAGAAUGGGGUAGAUUUAGGGGUUUGCUUUAUGUAUCAGUUUAGUUGUAAAAGUCAUUGGAUUUUCUGUUUUAUUGGUAAGAGCAUUUAAGGCUCAUACUCGGGUACUAGUAUUAGGGUAAUAGGGUGUAUUGCAUUGUAGUCGGAAUCGGGUAGGGUGAUAAAUAUAGAUGUAACAAGCUACUUUAUGGCAAGUAAUGAGAAAUGAGAAAUAAUUUUCCUACA